Molecule: ribosomal RNA, 454 nt
Filed under: Streptococcus sp. oral taxon 431
Lineage: Bacteria; Bacillati; Bacillota; Bacilli; Lactobacillales; Streptococcaceae
Description: bacterial SSU rRNA
Rfam family: Bacterial small subunit ribosomal RNA
Source: RNAcentral
GACGAACGCUGGCGGCGUGCCUAAUACAUGCAAGUAGAACGCUGAAGGAGGAGCUUGCUUCUCCGGAUGAGUUGCGAACGGGUGAGUAACGCGUAGGUAACCUGCCUGGUAGCGGGGGAUAACUAUUGGAAACGAUAGCUAAUACCGCAUAACAGUAGAUAUUGCAUGAUAUCUGCUUGAAAGGUGCAAUUGCAUCACUACCAGAUGGACCUGCGUUGUAUUAGCUAGUUGGUGAGGUAACGGCUCACCAAGGCAACGAUACAUAGCCGACCUGAGAGGGUGAUCGGCCACACUGGGACUGAGACACGGCCCAGACUCCUACGGGAGGCAGCAGUAGGGAAUCUUCGGCAAUGGACGGAAGUCUGACCGAGCAACGCCGCGUGAGUGAAGAAGGUUUUCGGAUCGUAAAGCUCUGUUGUAAGAGAAGAACGAGUGUGAGAGUGGAAAGUUCACA